Molecule: transfer RNA, 57 nt
Filed under: Heterocephalus glaber (naked mole-rat)
Lineage: Eukaryota; Metazoa; Chordata; Mammalia; Rodentia; Bathyergidae
Rfam family: tRNA
About the family: Transfer RNA (tRNA) molecules are approximately 80 nucleotides in length. Their secondary structure includes four short double-helical elements and three loops (D, anti-codon, and T loops).
Source: Rfam by way of RNAcentral
UAGCUCAGUGGUAGAGCACUUGCCUAACAAGCACAAGGCCCUGGGUUCAAUCCCCAG